UGAUCAUCACCAUGUCGGUCCUGGG
RNAcentral lists this non-coding RNA (25 nucleotides) under Mus musculus (house mouse). The record is from RNAcentral. Lineage: Eukaryota; Metazoa; Chordata; Mammalia; Rodentia; Muridae.